CAUUAACACCUAUAUUAUUUGGGAUUAGUAUUCGUAUUAUUAUCGUGAUUCUUUUUCCUAGCCCAAGAAUUAGAUUGAUCGUCAUAUGGGGUUAGAGAGUAGAGACCUAGGGCUAAUUAAUUUUGUUCCUUUUUCUCUAAAAUAUUUUAUUUUUUACUAGUUUUUAGUUUUCUUUUGUAUUAUAAUACAAACCAUUUAUUUGGUUGCUAUGUAUACUUUGACUGUAUAUGUAUUUUGCGUAUGAUUAUUGUCGGUUUAAACGGCCCUCUUAUGUUUAAAUUCAGGCUCCGCCACUAGCCAUUAGAUCUACUCGUGGCUGUUUUUGGGGUA
RNAcentral lists this long non-coding RNA (330 nucleotides) under Sorghum bicolor (sorghum). RNAcentral describes it as "long non-coding RNA (SBIC_LNC001752)". Lineage: Eukaryota; Viridiplantae; Streptophyta; Magnoliopsida; Poales; Poaceae. The record is from RNAcentral.